GUGAAUCAUCGAAUUUUUGAACGCAAAUUGCACUUUCUGGUAUUCCGGAAAGUAUUCCUGUUUGAGGGUCAGUUAAAUAAAAAUCGGUGUUGUUGCUGCUUUUCGUGGUGCCGAGUUGGAAUUGAGUUGUCUUAUUUUCGGUUAAGUGAUUUAAAUUUUUGCAUGAUUUUCUAACGUAUUUUAAUUUCUUAUUUACGUUUGAUAUAUGGAAUCCUUUAUUAGUUUCGGUCAUCCUCGUG
Molecule: unclassified non-coding RNA, 239 nt
Filed under: Glomus sp.
Lineage: Eukaryota; Fungi; Glomeromycota; Glomeromycetes; Glomerales; Glomeraceae
Description: partial contains 5.8S ribosomal RNA and internal transcribed spacer 2
Rfam family: 5.8S ribosomal RNA (bases 1-71)
Source: RNAcentral